Molecule: ribosomal RNA, 1013 nt
Filed under: Staphylococcus aureus
Lineage: Bacteria; Bacillati; Bacillota; Bacilli; Caryophanales; Staphylococcaceae
Description: bacterial SSU rRNA
Rfam family: Bacterial small subunit ribosomal RNA
Source: RNAcentral
AGAGUUUGAUCCUGGCUCAGGAUGAACGCUGGCGGCGUGCCUAAUACAUGCAAGUCGAGCGAACGGACGAGAAGCUUGCUUCUCUGAUGUUAGCGGCGGACGGGUGAGUAACACGUGGAUAACCUACCUAUAAGACUGGGAUAACUUCGGGAAACCGGAGCUAAUACCGGAUAAUAUUUUGAACCGCAUGGUUCGAAAGUGAAAGACGGUCUUGCUGUCACUUAUAGAUGGAUCCGCGCUGCAUUAGCUAGUUGGUAAGGUAACGGCUUACCAAGGCAACGAUGCAUAGCCGACCUGAGAGGGUGAUCGGCCACACUGGAACUGAGACACGGUCCAGACUCCUACGGGAGGCAGCAGUAGGGAAUCUUCCGCAAUGGGCGAAAGCCUGACGGAGCAACGCCGCGUGAGUGAUGAAGGUCUUCGGAUCGUAAAACUCUGUUAUUAGGGAAGAACAUAUGUGUAAGUAACUGUGCACAUCUUGACGGUACCUAAUCAGAAAGCCACGGCUAACUACGUGCCAGCAGCCGCGGUAAUACGUAGGUGGCAAGCGUUAUCCGGAAUUAUUGGGCGUAAAGCGCGCGUAGGCGGUUUUUUAAGUCUGAUGUGAAAACCCACGGCUCAACCGUGGAGGGUCAUUGGAAACUGGAAAACUUGAGUGCAGAAGAGGAAAGUGGAAUUCCAUGUGUAGCGGUGAAAUGCGCAGAGAUAUGGAGGAACACCAGUGGCGAAGGCGACUUUCUGGUCUGUAACUGACGCUGAUGUGCGAAAGCGUGGGGAUCAAACAGGAUUAGAUACCCUGGUAGUCCACGCCGUAAACGAUGAGUGCUAAGUGUUAGGGGGUUUCCGCCCCUUAGUGCUGCAGCUAACGCAUUAAGCACUCCGCCUGGGGAGUACGACCGCAAAGUUGAAACUCAAAGGAAUUGACGGGGACCCGCACAAGCGGUGGAGCAUGUGGUUUAAUUCGAAGCAACGCGAAGAACCUUACCAAAUCUUGACAUCCUUUGACAACUCUA